RNAcentral lists this ribosomal RNA (724 nucleotides) under Methylobacterium sp. Its description in RNAcentral is "bacterial SSU rRNA". The record is from RNAcentral. Lineage: Bacteria; Pseudomonadati; Pseudomonadota; Alphaproteobacteria; Hyphomicrobiales; Methylobacteriaceae.
ACACAUGCAGUCGAGCGGGCCCUUCGGGGUCAGCGGCAGACGGGUGAGUAACACGUGGGAACGUACCCUUUGGUUCGGAAUAACGCUGGGAAACUAGCGCUAAUACCGGAUACGCCCUUUUGGGGAAAGGCUUGCUGCCGAAGGAUCGGCCCGCGUCUGAUUAGCUAGUUGGUGGGGUAAUGGCCUACCAAGGCGACGAUCAGUAGCUGGUCUGAGAGGAUGAUCAGCCACACUGGGACUGAGACACGGCCCAGACUCCUACGGGAGGCAGCAGUGGGGAAUAUUGGACAAUGGGCGCAAGCCUGAUCCAGCCAUGCCGCGUGAGUGAUGAAGGCCUUAGGGUUGUAAAGCUCUUUUGUCCGGGACGAUAAUGACGGUACCGGAAGAAUAAGCCCCGGCUAACUUCGUGCCAGCAGCCGCGGUAAUACGAAGGGGGCUAGCGUUGCUCGGAAUCACUGGGCGUAAAGGGCGCGUAGGCGGCCAUUCAAGUCGGGGGUGAAAGCCUGUGGCUCAACCACAGAAUUGCCUUCGAUACUGUUUGGCUUGAGUUUGGUAGAYGUUGGUGGAUCUGCGAGUGUAGACGUGAAACUCGUAGAUAUCGCUAGAGCAUCAGUGGCGUAUGCAGUCUACUGAUCGAUACUGACGCUGAUGCGCGUAUGCGUGGGAGCAACAGAUAGAUAUCCUGCUAGUCACGUCGUAACGAUGAUGCUAGCUGCUAGAGUGC